This is a long non-coding RNA of Mytilus californianus (California mussel), 887 nucleotides long. RefSeq lists it as uncharacterized. The record is from RefSeq and is a predicted model, not a curated record. Lineage: Eukaryota; Metazoa; Mollusca; Bivalvia; Mytilida; Mytilidae. The transcript has 5 exons.
GUCCAAACAUACUGUUGAAUCGAGUGGUCCUUGACUGAAGCCAAAAUCACGUUCAUCGUACAUGUAAUCAUUGAUUCUGACUAACUAAUAGAUCAGGUGUUAUUUAUGUGCAGUUUAAAAUUAAUUUGGUAGAAGUUCAUCAAUGAUAUACUGAAGAAGACGUAUGCCAACAGACGAUUUAUUGAAAGCAUAAUUGCUCAAAAGACAUGCAUUUUUCAUCACUGAUCAAAAGUCAGAAAUUGAGACUAUGGUUGUCGUUUGUUGCUGGUGUUCUAGCCAAUGCGCUGUUGGGACCAUCGGAAAUAUUCUAUAUUUACGCAAAUGAGCUUCAAGUCAUAUUUAACAUCAAUAAGGAACAAGUUGAAAUGUUCGCGUCCAUCCAGACUAUAGGAAACGGAAUUGGAUUCAUGUUAUGCACAUUUACAGAUUCAUUAAAUCCCAUGUGUUUCUUGGUGUUUGGUUUCGUGUUUACUCUGAUUGGGCCGACUGUAUUAUGGGUGGCGACAUUAGAUCAGCAUAUGACAAACAGUUACUUCAUUAUUUUUGGAUUUCUAUGUAACGGAUUAAGUGAUUCUAUUCAGAUUAUUAUAUCACAGAAGAUAGUUGCAAAGAAUUUUUCUUCAUCAAACAGAGGAAUAAUUAUGGCAGUUAUGGGGGAAAGUAUUAGUAUUGGAAUGCUCUUGUUUUCCGGUAUCUAUUACAGCAUUCCGUCAAAGAAACACCGAUUCCAACAGCUGAUGAUAUUUCUAUUCUUCUUUAGUGUGUUUGUAUAUAUAUUCUGUUUUUUGUUUCUUCGUGAAGUACAUUCUGAAACAGAAUAUACGAAUAUAUUGCCUGAAGAUGAUAAUCAUGAACACAGUUUAACGAGAUUAUAUAUGCAUUCCAAA